This 677-nucleotide ribosomal RNA is filed under the name uncultured fungus. RNAcentral describes it as "eukaryotic LSU rRNA". The stretch from base 263 to 417 matches the Rfam family "5.8S ribosomal RNA". The record is from RNAcentral. Lineage: Eukaryota; Fungi.
CUUGGUCAUUAGAGGAAGUAAAAGUCGUAACAAGGUUUCCGUAGGUGAACCUGCGGAAGGAUCAUUAUCGAAAUUAUUGGUGAGGGUUGUAGCUGGCCUUUCGAGGCAUGUGCACGCUCGAGCCCUUAAUCCACUUUACACCUGUGCACUUAAUGUAGGUCGCCCUUAAAAAAGGUGACCUAUGUCUUAUCAUCAACCCAUCGUAUGUCUCAUAGAAUGUAAUCGAUAUCCUCGCCCUAAAAAAGCGUUGAUAAACUUAUACAACUUUCAACAACGGAUCUCUUGGCUCUCGCAUCGAUGAAGAACGCAGCGAAAUGCGAUAAGUAAUGUGAAUUGCAGAUUUUCAGUGAAUCAUCGAAUCUUUGAACGCACCUUGCGCUCCUUGGUAUUCCGAGGAGCAUGCCUGUUUGAGUGUCAUUAAAUUCUCAACUCCAAGGGUUUCACGACCUUUCGGAGAUUGGACUUGGAGGUGCUGGCCGCAUAUUGGUCGGCUCCUCUCAAAUGCAUCAGCGGAAUUCAACCUUUGGCUUCCGGAUGUCAGUGUGAUAAUCAUGUUGCGCUGUCGUUUGAUCCCUCAGAGUCCGCUUAUAAUGGUCUUCGGACAAAAUCAUCAUCAAAUUUGACCUCAAAUCAGGUAGGACUACCCGCUGAACUUAAGCAUAUCAAUAAGCGGAGGA